UUUCAGAUUGAGUUAUAACUUUGUCUGCAUUUACCGAAGAAUAAUUUUCCGGAUUUGAAAUAAUUUUACACAAAAGUCUUUCAAAAUUGGAAGGCAACCUCACGGUGGGCUCCCUUAUUACCAGCAUUUGAGAUCUACACAAACGUCUUUCAACGUGUAACUUGUAAGCACCUCACGGUUAGCUCGCUUAUUAUCAGCAUUUGAGACGAAGUAUCGACGAAAUGCUCGUGCUCGAACGGCCUUAUGUGAGUCGUGAGCAGGAUUCUUGACAUUAUGUACAACCGUUAUUUUUGGGAUGCUUGUUUUACGUAGCGCAGUUUCCUUUUAACGACUGCGAUAAAACUGGACACUAUAGCGGAGAUCCACGAAGAAAAUCUAACGUGUCCAGUGCGCUGGUUGUGCAAUAGAAGAAUCGAAUGUGGCGGACAUUGAACAUGCUGCGAAACUGGAAGACCAGUCGGUGUUGCAUAUAUACGUUUCAACUCAUGAUAACAUCGGUGCUUCCUGCGCUUCCCACAAUGAUCUGCUUGAUUAGGUCGCGGCUCUUGAUACCUAUGUGAAUACUCAACUGUUAAGGGCUUGCUUUUACCGCAUUCCCCGAAAGGUACCAAUGCGCUGCGACCGAUGUAAUUGCAAAAUUUGGUGAUGAGGAACAGCGAAAUAUAUUAGCGCUUUAAGGUUUUCAAGGACCACUGGAAUUCUCUCUCGGGUCUAUUCGAGAAGGUAUAACGGAGUGCUAGUGGCGUACCGAAAACACGGCAGUUCCCAAAGGCCCCCUGGACAGUUGGUUUUAUCUACACGGAGCAACAUCGUCCGGAAAAAUUGUGAGUUUUUUCAGUACGUCGUAGUGGCUUCACUGGCUAACAUUUGUACGAGUAUGAAGUCUCUACAACUGCGAAGUUUAAU
Molecule: long non-coding RNA, 906 nt
Organism: Paramacrobiotus metropolitanus
Lineage: Eukaryota; Metazoa; Tardigrada; Eutardigrada; Parachela; Macrobiotidae
Exons: 3
Source: RefSeq, a predicted model, not a curated record